GGGGGUAUAGCUCAGGGGUAGGGUUGACUGCAGAUCAAGAGGUCCCUGGUUCAAAUCCAGGUGCCCCCU
Molecule: transfer RNA, 69 nt
Filed under: Mesocricetus auratus (golden hamster)
Lineage: Eukaryota; Metazoa; Chordata; Mammalia; Rodentia; Cricetidae
Rfam family: tRNA
About the family: Transfer RNA (tRNA) molecules are approximately 80 nucleotides in length. Their secondary structure includes four short double-helical elements and three loops (D, anti-codon, and T loops).
Source: Rfam by way of RNAcentral